GUGUGUGUGUGUCUGUGCGCGUGCGCGUGCAGUUGUGUCGUUUAAAUGUUUAGAAAGCCUCAUAGCGUGGCAUCCGCUGUAGCCCGCAGAUGUGGGCAGGGCUUGGGGGAUUGGCAUUUGCUGGUGCUUUACAAGACUUGCUCAGAAUACUGGAGGGAAAGCUUUAACAACGAGGUAGUAUUUUAACCCACGGGAGCAAAACAAACGCGAGGUGCAUGUCCACGGGCGGAGUAAGAAAGCACAAAGCCCUUCCGUCUAGGUGCGUGGUGGGGCAAUCUUUUUUUCCCAAGAAGUGACUUUUCGUUUAUUGACGUACGUACUGUAUGUUCCUGAGGUUGAGUCAGGAGAAGCCUUAAAGGAGAAGUGUUGGGGAAGGUGGUGGGUGGGUGUCAGGGCCGCUGGGCUGUGUGGUCCUGAAGCUCCCUGCGGGGAUGCACCUGGAAAGGCCAGGGCCUGGGGACCCUGGAAAAUUGCCUGGUGGCUGCAUUGGGGAGAUGCUUCACGUCUGUCUCCAGAGAUGAGUCAGAAAUGUUUCCCAGAUUUUAAAACUCCCAAAGGCAGUGGAGUGGCUGGCUCUGGUCAAUCCCAGCUGGGGGCACAAGGCCUGGGCCAGCGCCGCAGGGUGUAACCAGCUCCUGGAAGGGUUCAGGUGCCACUCAGAAUGCCGCGGGUGAGGUCCGCCUGGAGCCUGUCGGGGCCGCGUGCGCGUCCUCCAGCGGGCAGGGCAGGGUGUCUGCGUGGCGCUGCUGCCCGGGCGGGCCGGGCUCUGUUGUGGGCUGGCUUCCUUGCUGAGCCAGGGGUCAAGUGCAGCGGUGUUUGGGGCUGAAGAAGUGGUACCCUUUGCCAGCUCUUUGGGACACACCUGUGAUGAAGAUUGGUUCUCGUACAAACCUGUCUGUCGAGGAUGCAGAAGGGGUGGUCUCCACAUCCCGUGAGUAACUCCCAGACCACCUGCCCUGACUUAGCUCCCGAAGGAGCUCGGGCGGUCAUCCCCAGCCCAGGUUAUUCUUUCCUGGGCCUUCUCGUAAACCCACAUGCCUCUGCUUCUAUGUGCAGUGUUUUUGGUUGACUCUUGUGUUCAUCGUCGAGAAACGAGGGCAGAUGCACACUCCCUGCCAUCUCCCCCACCCCACCCUCAGGACUCAGCUCCUGCUCUGCUCAGAUGCCCUCCACCCCGCACUCUCAGCCUCGCCACUGCUGCUGGUGUCGUCCCUUCCCACCCACCCAUCCUUUCAGACUCGACGGCGUCUCAGCUGCGGUCCCACGGUAACGAAGCGGAUGCCUCCCGUCAAGCAGAAGGUCCAUCUGCCUGCUGGCUCUGUGGUGAUGUGCACGGCACGAACUCCAGGGGAGCAAAGGGGGCUUUUCAAUGUCUUUUGCUUUCAGAAACAGGGAAUUUAUAUUCUAAGGCCUUGAAUUGAUUUUUUUUUUCCUCAUAAAUAGUCAGAUAAGCUAAUUUUUAAAAAGAAAUGCCAUUGAGUAUGUGCAUUGUGGUUUAAAAUUACUAACGAGUUCUGGGAAAGAAAAGUAAUAUUUGAUUUUGAAUCUUACAUGUUUUUAAAAAUUAGAUUUGAAUGGGCAAAAAGUAUUUUGUUUCUUUAGGGAGUACAUGUGGAAAGGGUUUGAGGGUUUGGGACGGGAGAAGUAUUUUGCAGAGCUAUCAAUGUCCAAAUAAUUUUUAAAAAAUAAUAAAGGUAUUUAAGCAGU
Phocoena sinus (vaquita) is the source of this 1707-nucleotide long non-coding RNA. NCBI's taxonomy places the organism in Eukaryota, Metazoa, Chordata, Mammalia, Artiodactyla, Phocoenidae. The record is from Ensembl.